CCUACGGGGUGCAGCAGUGAGGAAUAUUGGUCAAUGGGCGCGAGCCUGAACCAGCCAAGUAGCGUGAAGGAUGACUGCCCUACGGGUUGUAAACUUCUUUUAUAUAGGAAUAAAGUGCAGUACGUAUGCCUCUUUGCAUGUACUUUAUGAAUAAGGAUCGGCUAACUCCGUGCCAGCAGCCGCGGUAAUACGGAGGAUCCGAGCGUUAUCCGGAUUUAUUGGGUUUAAAGGGAGCGUAGAUGGGUUGUUAAGUCAGUUGUGAAAGUUUGCGGCUCAACCGUAAAAUUGCAAUUGAUACUGGCAGACUUGAGUACAGUUGAGGUAGGCGGAAUUCGUGGUGUAGCGGUGAAAUGCUUAGAUAUCACGAAGAACUCCGAUUGCGAAGGCAGCUUACUAGACUGCCACUGACAUUGAUGCUCGAAAGUGUGGGUAUCAAACAGGAUUAGAUACCCGAGUAGUC
Molecule: ribosomal RNA, 460 nt
Filed under: uncultured bacterium
Lineage: Bacteria
Description: partial 16S ribosomal RNA
Rfam family: Bacterial small subunit ribosomal RNA
Source: RNAcentral